Molecule: long non-coding RNA, 1618 nt
Filed under: Coturnix japonica (Japanese quail)
Lineage: Eukaryota; Metazoa; Chordata; Aves; Galliformes; Phasianidae
Description: lncRNA (ENSCJPG00005001207.1)
Source: RNAcentral
CCAAAUAGGAAUCGGCAGCAAUACUUAGAUUCAUUCCUUUGAAAUCCAGUGAUGAGGAUAAGCCACGUGUUGCUGUUACAAAAAUCCUGACGCUUUUGGAAAAGGCAAAAAGUCGAUCAUGUGAGACAAAGAAGUAAAGUGAAACUAAAUACUUUUAUUGUACUUCUGGAAACAAAUCAGAGAAACAGAGGAAGCAAAGUGUAUUAUCUUUGCUGUAGAGAAUACAUAGUGCUUCUUCAGUUCCAGAUGAAAAAGCCAGAUUUAACCAAAUCAGAAAUCCCUGUACUGAAUGGUCUUAUAAAUGCUAGGUGAGAAGCAAUCUGUGAUGUAGUGAUGAAGAAGGAAGAGCUGCUUGGCAGAAGUGGUACCUGACAUGAUAAACAGCUGUGGAGAACAGGAAAUCUGCAUGGGUAUUGAAUCACGAGAACUGCUUUUCUACAUCAUGAGAAAGGCCUCUCAAGUGACUUGAGCUGAUAGAAGCUGGAGGACAGGAGCUUGAGUGAAUGUAAGCUCAAGAACAGCGAGCAGAGGAGGCCAUGAAGCUUGUUGCCUCCAGCAUCAGAGUGACUAGGGUAUUUCAUUCGCAGCCUUGAGAGAGACUGAAGGGACAUGCAGGCCUUGACAAGAUCUCUGGUGCAUUCCUGAGCACUGGGAGCAGGUGGUGUCUGAUGUGUGGGGCUGCUCCCAACCUGGGGGGCCAGCACCUGCGUUGCUUGUGCUGGUGUUUCCUCAGUGCUGGUGGGUGCACUCUGCCUUGGACUUGCUGGUUUCUGGCAGGGUCUAGGUCUGGUGGCUACGGGACGCCUUAUGUAUGUCAAGUUGUAGAAUUUGCGUGUGGCGUGUGCAGGCUUGAGAGGGGAUGCAGGGACAUCCAGGGAUGGUACACAAGUUGGCAGAGGCUCUCUCUCCUCCCCUGAGAUGCUGCUGUGGCUGAAUGUGUCCCUGAUCUCCAGCUGUCCACCUCAUGCUGAAGGUUUCCAGGCACUGAAGACGCUGGAGGCAGGGCCUCUGCAUCACCAAAUGAUGUGCUCCCUGGAUCUUUGGCUGCCACUGUCACAGCGUCUCUCUCAGCAGUGUCUUUUCCUCCUUCCUGCUCAUCUGUCAGAACAGCACUUGUGGUUGAAGAGCAAUGACAGCAGGGCAGGAAGCUGCUCCCUCUCCUGGCAGAGCUGGCCCUCUCUUUGCUGCUCUUGACAUCCAGCAUGGCCUGAGAAGUGCCAGCACCUUUGGCACCAUUGUCUGCUGCCUGCUCUGCUGCCAGGAAACAUGAAGUAGAGACCCUGUCAGCAUCUCUGGUGUCAGCAUCUCCGGUGUCUUCCUGAGCACUGGCAGCAGAUUGUGUCUCAUCCUCGGGGCCUUUCCCAGCCUUGGGGGCCAGCACCUGGGUUGUUUGUGCUGGUGUGCUCACAGUGAUGGUGGGUGCACGUCGCCCAGGCCGUGUUGGCUUCAGGCAGGCUCCUGGUCGUGUGGCUCCCAAACGCACCCAAUAUGCUAGCCUGAGGAACUUGGGCGUUCUUUCUGCAGGCUUGAGGGGGAGUGCAUGGACACAGAUCUGCCUGCCAGCCCUCGGCCCUCGCUGCCGUAUCCUGGUAAUGAUGGCUCUGCCUCUUGGAAAAUG